CCCCAGGUGAGAAGCAUACUGAAAGGCAGACUACCAUGUUUUUCCAGUUACAUUUGCCAAUUGUCUGUAGCUGCCUUAGAUAUGAGAUGCACAGGAUUUCCUUGGAACAUAGGUUUUCAAAGAACAAAAUAAUUUUACACAGAACUCAAGCUGUGAAGCUACUGAAUCAAUGCAAAUGGCUGGUGACUGUAAAUAUGGUGAAGUAGCUUAUGUUGAGACAACGCAAUUUGCUGAAGACAUCAUCUCCUUUGCAAAACAUUACACAUGACUAUGAAAAAGGCCAAGAAUGAAGGUGUAUUUAUAUCAAUUAACACUUCAUAGACAACAGGUCCAGUGCUUACUGUUUCACAGACAUGAAAAUGAAUUUAUUAGUAGCUGGCCUUGGAUUGUUACUAUAUAGCACUGUGAUGCCAAUAGAUAAUAAAUUCUUACUAAAUAAAUAUGUAAUCAAAUGAA
Molecule: long non-coding RNA, 456 nt
Organism: Neofelis nebulosa (Clouded leopard)
Lineage: Eukaryota; Metazoa; Chordata; Mammalia; Carnivora; Felidae
Exons: 2
Source: RefSeq, a predicted model, not a curated record